Molecule: long non-coding RNA, 333 nt
Organism: Limanda limanda (common dab)
Lineage: Eukaryota; Metazoa; Chordata; Actinopteri; Pleuronectiformes; Pleuronectidae
Exons: 2
Source: RefSeq, a predicted model, not a curated record
GACGUACAAAGACACACUAUGAGCCGGUAUGAUCCGACCAGACCUUACAUCAGCAUUGAGGAGUUGUCGGAGAAGAAAGAGGCUGAUUGAAGCGGGACAGAUGACAUGGAUCCAUCCUUCCACAGCCAGGAGUGCACCGACCUGUGUCCCACACUUCAUAUAAGACUGGAAGCUACACUGGAUCUCACAGCUACACACCACAGACGUCUACACACUGGAGAAGAGUCCCACAAAGAAGUCAUGACCCAGAGGCUGCAGAGAAACAUUUCAAGCCUCACCUGAGAUUUUGUACAAUAUUUUUGCUGUAUGUAAAUAAAGCUUUCACUCCACAUA